UUUCCUGAGGAGCGCUGCGACGGGUAGCGCGCCGGCCGCUAUGGCCCGCCCACCCGCUAGGCUCAGGAAGCGUUUCUCGAUUGAACGGCGCUCAUCAUUU
This 100-nucleotide non-coding RNA is filed under the name Candidimonas nitroreducens. RNAcentral's name for it is "SAH sequence". It matches the Rfam family "SAH (S-adenosyl-L-homocysteine) riboswitch aptamer". Lineage: Bacteria; Pseudomonadati; Pseudomonadota; Betaproteobacteria; Burkholderiales; Alcaligenaceae. The record is from Rfam by way of RNAcentral.